GAGGGUAUAGGUCAAGUGAGAACACAUGCUUAACAUGCACAAGGUCCUGGGUUCAAUCCCCAGUACCUCCU
This 71-nucleotide transfer RNA is filed under the name Camelus bactrianus (Bactrian camel). It matches the Rfam family "tRNA". Rfam says of the family: Transfer RNA (tRNA) molecules are approximately 80 nucleotides in length. Their secondary structure includes four short double-helical elements and three loops (D, anti-codon, and T loops). RNAcentral also lists the same sequence under 2 other names. Lineage: Eukaryota; Metazoa; Chordata; Mammalia; Artiodactyla; Camelidae. The record is from Rfam by way of RNAcentral.